UCGAUUUGGAGUUUGUUGCCUAGAGUGAUGGGCUCCGAAGCUAACGCGAUAAAUCGACCGCCUGGGGAGUACGGCCGCAAGGUUAAAACUCAAAUGAAUUGACGGGGGCCCGCACAAGCGGUGGAGCAUGUGGUUUAAUUCGAUGCAACGCGAAGAACCUUAUCUGGUCUUGACAUCCACAGAAUCUUUCAGAGAUGAGGGAGUGCCUUCGGGAACUGUGAGACAGGUGCUGCAUGGCUGUCGUCAGCUCGUGUUGUGAAAUGUUGGGUUAAGUCCCGCAACGAGCGCAACCCUUAUCCUUUGUUGCCAGCGAUUAGGUCGGGAACUCAAAGGAGACUGCCGUUGAUAAAACGGAGGAAGGUGGGGACGACGUCAAGUCAUCAUGGCCCUUACGACCAGGGCUACACACGUGCUACAAUGGCGUAUACAAAGGGAAGCGAAGGUGCGAGCUGGAGCGGACCUCCUAAAGUACGUCUAAGUCCGGAUUGGAGUCUGCAACUCGACUCCAUGAAGUCGGAAUCGCUAGUAAUCGUGAAUCAGAAUGUCACGGUGAAUACGUUCCCGGGCCU
This 569-nucleotide ribosomal RNA is filed under the name uncultured Gammaproteobacteria bacterium. Its description in RNAcentral is "bacterial SSU rRNA". It matches the Rfam family "Bacterial small subunit ribosomal RNA", at positions 812 to 1381 of the family's 1533-position model. Lineage: Bacteria; Pseudomonadati; Pseudomonadota; Gammaproteobacteria. The record is from RNAcentral.